CAGUAGCCGCGGGAAAACGAAGGGUGCAAGCGCUAAUCGGAAUUACUGGGCGUAAAGCGUGCGCAGGCGGUUAUAUAAGUCAGAUGUGAAAUCCCCGGGCUCAACCUGGGAACUGCAUUUGAGACUGUAUGGCUAGAGUGUGUCAGAGGGGGGUAGAAUUCCACGUGUAGCAGUGAAAUGCGUAGAUAUGUGGAGGAAUACCGAUGGCGAAGGCAGCCCCCUGGGAUAACACUGACGCUCAUGCACGAAAGCGUGGGGAGCAAACAGGAUUAGAUACCCCAGUAGUCCCUGUCUCUUAUAC
This 301-nucleotide ribosomal RNA is filed under the name uncultured bacterium. RNAcentral describes it as "partial 16S ribosomal RNA". It matches the Rfam family "Bacterial small subunit ribosomal RNA", at positions 509 to 807 of the family's 1533-position model. The record is from RNAcentral.